AUUGAACGCUGGCGGCAUGCCUUACACAUGCAAGUCGAACGGCAGCACGGGUGCUUGCACCUGGUGGCGAGUGGCGAACGGGUGAGUAAUACAUCGGAACGUACCUUAUCGUGGGGGAUAACGCAGCGAAAGUUGCGCUAAUACCGCAUACGCCCUGAGGGGGAAAGCGGGGGACCGUAAGGCCUCGCGCGUUUAGAGCGGCCGAUGUCUGAUUAGCUUGUUGGUGAGGUAAAAGCUCACCAAGGCGAUGAUCAGUAGCUGGUCUGAGAGGACGAUCAGCCACACUGGGACUGAGGCGCGGCCCAGGCUCCUACGGGGGGCAGCAGUUGGGAAUUUUGGAAGCUGGGGGCAACCCUGAGCCAGCAAUGCCGCGUGAGUGAAGAAGGCCUUCGGGUUGUAAAGCUCUUUUGUCAGGGAAGAAACAGCAGCUCUAACACAGUCUGCGAAUGACGGUACCUGAAGAAUAAGCACCGGCUAACUACGUGCCAGCCGCCGCGGUAA
Molecule: ribosomal RNA, 501 nt
Filed under: uncultured bacterium
Lineage: Bacteria
Description: partial 16S ribosomal RNA
Rfam family: Bacterial small subunit ribosomal RNA
Source: RNAcentral